This 148-nucleotide non-coding RNA is filed under the name Pan paniscus (pygmy chimpanzee). RNAcentral also lists the same sequence under 1 other name. Lineage: Eukaryota; Metazoa; Chordata; Mammalia; Primates; Hominidae. The record is from Rfam by way of RNAcentral.
GCCAGGCGUGGUGGCACAUGCCUGUAAUCCCAGCUGCUUGGGAGGCUGAGGCAGGAGAAUCGCUUGAACCCAGGAGGUGGAGGUUGCAGUGAGCCGAGAUCAUGCCACUGCACUCUAGCCUGGGUGACAGAGUGAGACUCUGUCUCAA